GAAGCUUUCAUGGGAGGAGUUACAGGAUAUGCUCCGACCACCACUGAGUGUUCAGCCAACCACUGUCACCAUAGAGGACCAAGAAUUUGAAGAAUACGAACAACCACCUGUUCUUGGGAAGAGGAGUAUAUUUACUGUCCGCUUAUCUGGGGAGCAGGAGCAGUGGGCUCAAUGUGAUAAUUGCUUUAAGUGGCGAAAGUUGCCAGCUGAUUAUCUUCUACCUCCUCAUUGGACAUGUCAGGACAACAUUUCAGAUCAUAGCAGGUCCUCUUGUUCCAUCCCAGACGAUUUAACACCCAGAGAGCUUGAAAAUCUUUUCAAAAUGGACAAGGGUGAAGUAACUUGUUGCUUUAGUUUUAGUGUAUAUUUCGGUCAUGCACCAGCUGG
Molecule: unclassified non-coding RNA, 387 nt
Filed under: Hevea brasiliensis (rubber tree)
Lineage: Eukaryota; Viridiplantae; Streptophyta; Magnoliopsida; Malpighiales; Euphorbiaceae
Source: RNAcentral